UAAACUCCAUCUAAGGCUAAAUACCGGCACGAGACCGAUAGUCAACAAGUACCGUAAGGGAAAGUUGAAAAGAACUUUGAAGAGAGAGUUCAAUAGUACGUGAAACCGUUCAGGGGUAAACCUAAGAAACCCAAAAGAUCGAACGGGGAGAUUCAUCGUCAACGAUGUUGGCUUCGUGUCGAUGGGCGAUGUCCUGUGUAUCUCGAUACCCAUGGUCACGCUAUCGUGCACGCAUGUCCGGCAUUGUCGUCGUGCACUUCUCCCCUAGUAGGACGUCGUGACCCGCUGGGUGUCGGUCUACGGGCUGGGUGUGCUGUCUGUCGUGUCGCUGGUAAAAUGGCACAUGGCAAACCCCCGGUCACCUGGCCGGCUGCCCGGCGGUACGCAUAAAGGUAUCAGGCCGCAAAAAUUAAAUUGCGUCAAGCCCGUCGCAAGCGCAGCCAUUUGGGUAUCGGAGG
This 458-nucleotide ribosomal RNA is filed under the name Noonilla sp. zhg-my02. RNAcentral describes it as "partial large subunit ribosomal RNA". It matches the Rfam family "Eukaryotic large subunit ribosomal RNA", at positions 300 to 646 of the family's 3401-position model. Lineage: Eukaryota; Metazoa; Arthropoda; Insecta; Hymenoptera; Formicidae. The record is from RNAcentral.